GUAUCACUACUCUCUCUCACCUAAUCACUAUUCACCUUCUCCCCCAAUUUCACAAAAAUUAGGAAAAAUCUCCCUCUUCUAUUCGUCGACCAGCCACCCCACCAGCACCGCCUCCGCUUCCAUUUUCGUCUCCGACGGUGUUCUCUUCCUCCUCCUCAUCUCUCCCUUUCUCUUCUCUCCCUCUUCACCGUACGCCGCUACCUUCUCUCUCUCUCUCCCCCGAUCUGCCGGCGCCGCCUCGCGGAUCUGCCGGAGCCGCCUCGCGGAUCUGCCGGAGCCGCGGAUCCGCCUCCGUCGCCUCCUUCCUCUCCCUCUCCUUUCUCUCCCUCGGCUCCCUCUUCCUUUCCCGGAUCUGUCGCCGCCGCCGCCGCUACUGUGCAUGCACAGGCGGCGGCUUCGCCCUCCUCCGCGCCUCGUGCUACCGGAGCAGCUUCCCGGCGUCACUCCAGCCCCGGCCGCCGCCUCCUCGCCGAACUCCCGGAAGAUUUGUCAAGAUUUUAUUGAAAGUCAUAGAGGUGUGAGGCUGCCUUCGUCGUCUCCGGGAUGCCGAGCUCGCUGCCGGAAUCCGACAGAUUCAUAGAGGUAUAAUCGGUUCAAGUUCGUGGCCGUCCGUGUUGAAGUACCCGAUUUUCUUAAAACGCAUGAUGUACAAAUUUAAUUUUGUUGGAUUUUUGUUGAAUGUAUCGGACAUUAAAAUUUUAAAUUUUGGGGUCUUAUUUAUUUAUUCAUUUAAAUUUAUUA
Molecule: long non-coding RNA, 741 nt
Organism: Salvia splendens (bonfire salvia)
Lineage: Eukaryota; Viridiplantae; Streptophyta; Magnoliopsida; Lamiales; Lamiaceae
Exons: 3
Source: RefSeq, a predicted model, not a curated record